UCGGCAUCCUCGUACAAUCGCCUUCCGGGUGCCUUGAUGAUUCGGGAGCCCCAAGCGACAUGUUUCGCAUUGAGGUCCCCAACCACCAAGGCCGGAUGGCGAUCAUGGUUCAAGGCCCGUCU
Bombyx mori (domestic silkworm) is the source of this 122-nucleotide non-coding RNA. The record is from RefSeq and is marked provisional. NCBI's taxonomy places the organism in Eukaryota, Metazoa, Arthropoda, Insecta, Lepidoptera, Bombycidae.